RNAcentral lists this ribosomal RNA (158 nucleotides) under Fusarium solani. Its description in RNAcentral is "5.8S ribosomal RNA". It matches the Rfam family "5.8S ribosomal RNA". From Rfam's summary of the family: 5.8S ribosomal RNA (5.8S rRNA) is a component of the large subunit of the eukaryotic ribosome. It is transcribed by RNA polymerase I as part of the 45S precursor that also contains 18S and 28S rRNA. The record is from RNAcentral. Lineage: Eukaryota; Fungi; Ascomycota; Sordariomycetes; Hypocreales; Nectriaceae.
AAUUAAAACUUUCAACAACGGAUCUCUUGGCUCUGGCAUCGAUGAAGAACGCAGCGAAAUGCGAUAAGUAAUGUGAAUUGCAGAAUUCAGUGAAUCAUCGAAUCUUUGAACGCACAUUGCGCCCGCCAGUAUUCUGGCGGGCAUGCCUGUUCGAGCGU